Molecule: non-coding RNA, 49 nt
Organism: Caenorhabditis elegans
Lineage: Eukaryota; Metazoa; Nematoda; Chromadorea; Rhabditida; Rhabditidae
Source: Ensembl
AAUCAUUUAGUCGAUGUGCCCGGGCAUUGUGAGCCGUGUGUUCGGGUCG